Styela clava is the source of this 452-nucleotide long non-coding RNA. RefSeq lists it as uncharacterized. The record is from RefSeq and is a predicted model, not a curated record. NCBI's taxonomy places the organism in Eukaryota, Metazoa, Chordata, Ascidiacea, Stolidobranchia, Styelidae.
CAUAUUACGGGAGUAACGGUCUCAUAACCCCGUUGCCAGAACCUAAGUACUAUAGACUAGAGUGCGUACGUAUUUUGAAGAAUACUAUUUUGUUAUUUAUUUUCAUAUUUCAGAUGGAUUCAAAAAUAAUGUUUGUUACUUUGCUGGUGACUUUGAUAUUAUUGCCAGAUGUCUCAGAGUAUGUUGCAGCUUACUAUGGACAUAGACAUGGCUACUACGGCUACAGUCGCAGAGAAAAAAGAUCAACAGCUGAAGAUGAGAUUCGCAUUGACGACUUUAUUGAAGAAAAUCUCAAUGACUUGUAUGAACCGAACAAUGAAUAACAGAUGAGGUCGAAGUUGGGGAAUAAGUCUUUGUUAUAUAUAUUAGGUUGGAAAUAUAUCGUAGAAAUUAUUCAGAAACCCUGCUCUAGCUAUAAAACAAAUACAUAUUAUAACAAUACUGAAAAAUAG